RNAcentral lists this unclassified non-coding RNA (613 nucleotides) under Gagea serotina. RNAcentral describes it as "sequence contains ITS1, 5.8S rRNA gene, ITS2". The stretch from base 232 to 387 matches the Rfam family "5.8S ribosomal RNA". The record is from RNAcentral. Lineage: Eukaryota; Viridiplantae; Streptophyta; Magnoliopsida; Liliales; Liliaceae.
UCGAGACCCUGAUCGGAAGACCGCGAACUUGUAAACGGAUGACCCGGGGUGACUGGGCCCGUCCCUACCACCCCGGGGCCUUGCCUCCCCGUCCGAUGUGUCGCCACACCUCGGACGGGGUAGGCGGGGGACGGACAAAACCCCGGCGCGGCCAGCGCCAAGGAUCAUAUAAUUGGAGUAGGGUGUGCCGCGGCCCUUGCGGGCUGGCGGUGCUCCCUGAAAAAUCUUUAAGACUCUCGGCAACGGAUAUCUCGGCUCUUACAUCGAUGAAGAACGUAGCGAAAUGCGAUACUUGGUGUGAAUUGCAGAAUCCCGUGAACCAUCGAGUCUUUGAACGCAAGUUGCGCCCGAGGCCCUUGGGUCGAGGGCACGCCUGCCUGGGCGUCACGCCUCGCAUCGGACUGCACCAACUGGUUCUGGUGUGGCUUCGGAGASUGGCCUUCCGUGCACCCGAGCGCGGUGGGCUUAAGAGAGGGCUGUCGGCCGGGUAGGCACGACAAGUGGUGGACUUUGUGCCAGCAGGAUGCCGUGUCCCCGGUCGUCGAAGAGCCAAAUACACCCGCAUAGGGCGUGCAGAUGCGCUCCUGCUCGGGAGGGCGUGCCGCCUCGCAAC